RNAcentral lists this small RNA (1701 nucleotides) under Pan troglodytes (chimpanzee). RNAcentral describes it as "retained intron". The record is from RNAcentral. Lineage: Eukaryota; Metazoa; Chordata; Mammalia; Primates; Hominidae.
CCGGGCGGAAAGUGGGUCAGGGCCGGGCCGGCGGAGCGCGCAGCGGGGGCUGCAGAUUCUUUCCACCAUGGCCAGACGCCCCCGGAACAGCAGGGCCUGGCACUUCGUCCUGAGUGCAGCCCGCCGAGACGCAGAUGCCCGGGCCGUGGCUCUAGCAGGCUCCACUAACUGGGGCUACGACUCUGAUGGGCAGCACAGCGACUCGGACUCCGACCCCGAGUACUCCACGCUGCCGCCAUCCAUCCCCAGUGCAGUGCCCGUGACCGGCGAGUCCUUCUGUGACUGUGCUGGGCAGAGCGAGGCCUCCUUCUGUAGCAGCCUGCACUCGGCCCACCGGGGCAAGGACUGCCGCUGUGGAGAGGAAGACGAGUGUGAGCGUGGGGCCCAGCCCCUGCUGGGACUGCACUGCGGGCGGGCCUGGGGGCGGGCAGGGCAGAGCCCCAUGGAGCUCUCAGGGCUGCCCCAGCCUGGGCCUCUCUUGCAGAUUUCGACUGGGUCUGGGAUGACUUGAAUAAGUCAUCAGCCACCCUGCUGAGCUGUGACAACCGUAAGGUCAGCUUCCACAUGGAGUACAGCUGCGGCACAGCGGCCAUCCGGGGCACCAAGGAGCUGGGGGAGGGCCAGCACUUCUGGGAGAUCAAGAUGACCUCUCCCGUCUACGGCACCGACAUGAUGGUGGGCAUCGGGACGUCGGAUGUGGACCUGGACAAAUACCGCCACACGUUCUGCAGCCUGCUGGGCAGGGAUGAGGACAGCUGGGGCCUCUCCUACACGGGUGCGUGAGGCCCAGGGUGGGGCGGGGCCGAGCCUGGAGCUCCCGGGCUCACUGCGACCCUGGCUGCCCCCAGGCCUCCUCCACCACAAGGGCGACAAGACCAGCUUCUCGUCGCGGUUCGGCCAGGGCUCCAUCAUUGGCGUGCACCUGGACACCUGGCAUGGCACGCUCACCUUUUUCAAGAACAGGAAGUGUAUAGGUGUGGCAGCCACCAAGCUGCAGAACAAGAGGUUCUACCCGAUGGUGUGCUCCACGGCGGCCCGGAGCAGCAUGAAGGUCACCCGCUCCUGCGCCAGCGCCACCUCCCUCCAGUACCUGUGCUGCCACCGCCUGCGCCAGCUGCGGCCAGACUCGGGAGACACGCUGGAGGGUCUGCCGCUGCCGCCGGGCCUCAAGCAGGUGCUACACAACAAGCUGGGCUGGGUCCUGAGCAUGAGCUGCAGCCGCCGCAAGGCUCCAGCGUCCGAUCCCCAGGCAGCGACCUCGGCCCACCCCAGCAGUCGCGAGCCUCGGCCCUGCCAGAGGAAGCGCUGCCGCCGGAUCUGACUGACUGCCCCAGUGGAACUGCCUUCUUGGGCUAGGACAGCCCCUUUCCUCCGUCCCUUCUUUCUCUGUCCCUUCCUUCCAGCCACACUCCAGGGCGGAGUUGGAUGAGGCCCGUCCGGAGGGAGCCAUCUCUUGCUCCCGAGGCUGGGACAGUCCUUUCUGGGGGGGCUCUAGGGCUCCUCUGCUGCUGUGCUGGGUGGGGAAGCGGCUGCCCUGAGCCCCAGGUCUUGUGGGAGGCUGCGAGGACGAGAGCCUGGCUGGAGCCCGCGUUGCCGUUCCCACAGGGCCUCGGUUUUUCCUAACUUGCUCUGCAUGCUGUCAGCGGCUGCCCUGCCGUCAUAGACUUAAAGGACUGCAAUAAACGUAGAGUUGAUGUCUAA